CCUACGGGAGGCAGCAGUAGGGAAUCUUUCACAAUGGGCGAAAGCCUGAUGGAGCAACGCCGCGUGCAGGAUGAAGGCCUUCGGGUUGUAAACUGCUUUUAUAAGCGUGCAAUAUGAUGGUAACUUAUGAAUAAGGAUCGGCUAACUACGUGCCAGCAGCCGCGGUCAUACGUAGGCUCCGAGCAUUAUCCGGAGUGACUGGGUGUAAAGAGUUGCGUAGGUGGCAUAGUAAGUAGCUAGUGAAAUCUGGUGGCUCAACCAUUCAGACUAUUAGCUAAACUGCUAAGCUCGAGACCGUUAGGGGUAACUGGAAUGUCUAGUGUAGGAGUGAAAUGCGUAGAUAUUAGAAGGAAAACCGAUAGCGUAGGCAGGUUACUGGGACGGUUCUGACACUAAGGCACGAAAGCGUAGGGAGCAAACGGGAUUAGAUACCCUAGUAGUC
Molecule: ribosomal RNA, 442 nt
Filed under: uncultured bacterium
Lineage: Bacteria
Description: partial 16S ribosomal RNA
Rfam family: Bacterial small subunit ribosomal RNA
Source: RNAcentral